UACGUAGGGGGCUAGCGUUGUCCGGAUUUAUUGGGCGUAAAGAGCGUGUAGGCGGCCAGGUAGGUCUGGUGUGAAAACUCGAGGCUUAACCUCGAGAUGUCAUCGGAAACCAUUUGGCUAGAGUCCGGAAGAGGAGAGUGGAAUUCCUGGUGUAGCGGUGAAAUGCGCAGAUAUCAGGAAGAACACCAAUGGCGAAAGCAGCUCUCUGGGACGGUACUGACGCUGAGACGCGAAAGCGUGGGGAGCGAUCCGG
Molecule: ribosomal RNA, 253 nt
Filed under: uncultured bacterium
Lineage: Bacteria
Description: partial 16S ribosomal RNA
Rfam family: Bacterial small subunit ribosomal RNA
Source: RNAcentral